Molecule: ribosomal RNA, 353 nt
Filed under: uncultured bacterium
Lineage: Bacteria
Description: bacterial SSU rRNA
Rfam family: Bacterial small subunit ribosomal RNA
Source: RNAcentral
GGGCCCGCACAAGUGGUGGAGCAUGUGGUUUAAUUCGAUGCAACGCGAAGAACCUUACCAACCCUUGAAAUCUAGCGAAGUUCACAGAGAUGAGAAUGUGCCUUCGGGAACGCUAUGACAGGUGUUGCAUGGCUGUCGUCAGCUCGUGUCGUGAGAUGUAUGGUUAAGUCCAGUAACGAGCGCAACCCCUAUCCUUAUUUGCCAGCGCGUUAAGGCGGGAACUAUAGGGAGACUGCCGGGUGAAACCCGGAGGAAGGCGGGGACGAGGUCAAGUCAUCAUGGCCCUUACGUAUAGGGCUACACACGUGCUACAAUGGAGAAUACAGACGGACGCUAAGCCGCGAGGUGGUGCC